RNAcentral lists this long non-coding RNA (768 nucleotides) under Homo sapiens (human). RNAcentral's name for it is "HSALNT0122980". Lineage: Eukaryota; Metazoa; Chordata; Mammalia; Primates; Hominidae. The record is from RNAcentral.
GAAGAGAGUUGUGUUUAGCUUUCAGGAGUCCCAUAAGAAUAUUAAGAGAUUGAGGCAGAGGCAAACAAUGAGGCAAAUUAUAAAAACCCACCACUCGUAAUUUGCGGUGGCCCCAAGGAAGGGAAGAGGAAACGAGGUUAUUCCCGUUCCAUUACAGUUGGAGCUGCUGCCCAAGCAGUAGUGAACUGGAGAGAAACAAGCCCUGGGUUUCCAGUGGUGAUGUUGGUCUGAAAUAAAAGUCCUGAAACACCUAUGAAGUCUGACAUCUCUGCGUAGCCCUAGGAUUCUGGUUCCUUGCUUUCGGUUGCAGAGUGGUGUGUUUGCGUCAUUGUUGAUGUCACCUCCUAAAAAGACCUUCACUUUCUUGCUGUCACAUAGCCGUAUUUGUUGCUCCCCAUGUAUAGCCUGACAGAAUAAAUGGAGAGGGAGGUGCUGAAUUUGUGUAUCACUGGCUGUCAGCUCCUCGUGUUGUUAAGCCUCACACAGGUGUGCUAGCAUUGAACGGUAGAGUGUCACACACCUGAGUUUGAAAAUAAAAGCAUAUUCUCCCCCAAAAAUGGGAGUGACACAGCAAGAAGUCCCUCUCGAGAUGCUGGCCCCUCAACCUUGGAUUUCCCAGACUACAGAAUCAUGAGCCAAUAAAUUUCUGUUCACUAUCAGUUCCCCAGUCUGUGGCAUUCCAUUACAGCAGCACAACUUGGCUGAGGAUAAGAGCUUUCAGUAGAGUGAGAACACACAGUUUCUUUAAACUUAGAACAGAAAAACUUG